AAUGCACCAAUUUGUAAGUCGCUCUGGAUAGGAGCGUCUGCUAAAUGACGUAAA
Non-coding RNA from Salmo salar (Atlantic salmon), 54 nucleotides. NCBI's taxonomy places the organism in Eukaryota, Metazoa, Chordata, Actinopteri, Salmoniformes, Salmonidae. The record is from Rfam.